AUACAAACUCAAUCGUAGUAUAAGACAGUGACAAUGAGAAGAUUUAAUUAA
This 51-nucleotide unclassified non-coding RNA is filed under the name Trypanosoma brucei. RNAcentral describes it as "gCOIII[147]". The record is from RNAcentral. Lineage: Eukaryota; Euglenozoa; Kinetoplastea; Trypanosomatida; Trypanosomatidae.